AUAGGAACAGAGGCAGUUUAUUAAGAAAGAGGAGGACUCUCCUGAGGCGGCGGCACCACGGUUGCCCCUUUAUGCUCCGGACACAGCAACUGUCUUCUGCACUUGUCUGUUGUGGGCUUUUCCUUAGCAUGGCCAGGCGGGCUGUGCAGCUUUCUUUGCUGACUGACUUCUCCAUGCCAGUCUUGAUGCCUCUUUCUCCGUAUUCCUUCUGUGCUGGCACAGCACCAUAGUUCACCCCCCUCUGCAGGCUCUUGGGAAGACCGGCCAGCUUAGUGAGCAGCUCUGCCCGACCCCAGCCUCAUUUCACUUCCUCUUCCCUGGUCUCCGGGAGCUCCUGCUGUCCCCGCUGACCACCUCCUCUCUACCCUGCCCUGCCGCCGCCUGCCCCAUGACCCUUAGUUUGGAAUUGUUGCUUCCUGAAUUUUGGCUGGAAAGGGUUGAGCGGGGCUGUUAAUAAAGACUCGUUCCUAGGCCUCAUCCUAGAUGUUCCGUGCUCAGUCCAGAGCUGGAGGCCUCCAGCUUUCCCACUAAAGCCUCGGGACAUCCAGUUGCUUUGGGGACAAGGGUCCCCCUUUACCUGGUGCCAGUUUUAGUCUUGGUGGGGAGCUGUUAGCCCUGCUUGCAUUCCCAGUGACUCCUCACCCCCCUCCAAUCGCACCUUGUUUUUGUCCCUGAAGACAAAGUGACGGGUCCCUAAGGAGCUGGGAUGGGAUGAGAGGCCACCAUGGAAGGGCCUAGGAAUCAAAGUGAAACAAGCCCGGCCAGCGGGGCUACCUUCUUGCUGGGCCACUGAUCUCACUUGAGUGGGGGAAGGAGGCAGAAUCUUCAACCUAGGAGAGCAGGGCAGGCCCUGGCAGAGGCUCCUGAGAGGAGCAUCAGGUAGCUGGGAGAGGGGACUCACGCUUGAGAGAUCCGCUGUGACAGACAGCAAAUCUUUACUCUUGGAUCCAUGUAAGCGGUCCUUUCGCUUGCCCACCACUUUCUGGGAUCCUAUCCUUAGCUAGAGCAAGACUCUGUAGCUCACUACUACACAGUCCGGCACAUAGUAGGCCCUCAAUAAAUAUUUGUUGAAUGAAUGAGAUGCAAUUCAAAGCCAAGAACAGAUUUGGGGCAUCUCUGAAUCUUUCAUGUCACCAUCUCCACCGGAGACCUGGGUUCGAGAGUUUCCUGGGGUCUAGGUCCCCUGACAGGGCAGGUGGUGGGACCUCACCUCAGAGUCUAACAGAACGCUAAUUAUGUGUCUGUGAGGGACCCAGAACUUCCCUUUAAUACAGAGAGUGCCUUGUCCCAUCAGCUCUCGGGGAUCCUGAGCUCCCCAGCUCAGGAGCCGCUCAGCAGCUGCUGGGUCCUCGGUCCCUCCUCACUGCCAUCAGACGCAGACAUGGGCAGUGUCACGGACUCGGCGCUCAGCUGCGUGUGACUGCAUUUCUGCCUAGAUUCCAGUGCUCCGGGAUCCUGGCCCCUGCUGACCUCUUCAACUUUAUCUCCUGUCCCCAUGCCGUCCCUCAACAGGCCAUCCUAACGCCUUUUCAUUUAAGCCUUUUCUGGCUAAAUUAUCUUUUCCUGACUGCACUAUCCAUCCCGCUGUCACAGAGACUUGGUGUUUACAACACCGAGUGAUAGAAGUCUAGAAAUGCCACUCUGUCUUGGACUUCUGUUUAUGAAAGAUUAAAAAGCAGAGCAAACCUCACCAAGCCCGCCUGCCCCUCCUGGCACUGCUGGGCAGCCUCAGAAGAGGCUCCAUCCUUUGUUCUCCUAGGACACGAGUGUCAUGGAGAGGUGGCCCUUAGGAGGUGGCCAGGGCCUUAUCUCGCCUGUGCCUUGUCCCAGCCUCCAUCUUACAUGAAGAAGCUGAGGUCCAGCACAGGACAUAUUCUAGAAAUAUUCCGAGCAGAUUCCUCCUGCCCUUGUCCUUGCCACUGUCCAGCUAGCAGGGGUCACAGAGGUACUGGGCAGGUCACCUCAUGGGGGAAUGAGAAGCCACAGGAUUGGACGGGGUAUAGAGAGCUUCACUCAGCCUCCUGGGUCUUUGGCUCAAAGACAACCCUUAGGUGUCCCAAGAGGGCUCCACUUAGGUGUCAUUGGCGGGACUUGGGGGUGUAUGUGUGUGUGUGUGUGUGUGUGUGCGCUAUUUGUUGGUUAAGGAACAUCCUGUCCCCAACUCCUAUGGACUGACUGCCUGCACUGUGAAAGUCCCGGCCCCCAGCUUAUCCUUAUUGACAUAACAGAAGAAACAAAUUAAUUUUUUCUGAUAACUCUGGGUCUUCUCUAUAUAAGGUCAACUCCUAUGUAAACACUGACCAAUAAAACCCAGCAGGUAUUUGAGACAUGUCCACCAUGAGAAGCAAAAGGCCAUUUCUGUCCUUUUCUCAGUGGGUGCCGCAGAAGGAAUGAAGCAUAUUUGGUGGGAAAUGUUCAUUUUACAAAAAUUUUGAAUUCUUCUGCCCCCCCCCCCAAGAAGUUUCAGGCCCUGCCCUGGAAAAAGAAAUUUUCAGUUCUGUAACCCAUACAUUUUACUCUAAAAAUGUCCUCUUUCUGUGACGGGGAUUAAAGCGCUCAGCGGUGAGCGCUCGCCUAGUCGUCUUGAGGGUCUAGGCUCCAUCCUGGGACCAAAAAAGGAAAAAGGUCACCAAUAUCAAUAGACUUGAUUUUUCUCCCUUAGAAGUUUUCAAAUUAGAUUUAGAUGAAUUUCAUUUUAAAGUGCAGGAAAGGAUGUAUUCCUCAUGUAAAAGCAUCCACCAACAGCACUGGCCAGAGCCGAGAGCUGGCUGUGGGGUGACCCCGAGAGGGAGGAGCCCCUAACUGACCACACAGCCCAGGGCCCCGGAGCUCUCCUGUCUGGGUCACGUUGUCACUGAACAUGGCUUGUAGUGUCCGAGUAGUGUUAGCUGUUCGUCUGGAAGCCGGAGCCGAGGUUCUUGUCUGGGGUGAAUGGUACGAUACACGGGGAGUUCCUAAACUUGUAGGCAGUACAAGGACAUGCUUUUCACUAAUGUUGUACACGUACCCCAAAUCAGUCCUGCCCCCCAGCCCCAGCCCCAAACCCAAAGGGGUUUUUGGUCCUGUUGCUUUUUAAUGGCAUCAUUCCCAUGCUUUAGCUAAAGUUAGAGGGUCAGUGGCGUACAGAAAGCCAGUGACUGUGGCUUCCGAGUGCUGGUUCCUUUCAUUCCUGGGUGGCCUGGGCCAGGACCAGCACCCUAGUUGAAGGCUUUGGGUGCUUUUGUAGGCCUGAAUGAGAAAACCUCAAGAAUCAGGACUUCUGAGAGCUGGGCAUGAUGGCGCAUGCCUUUAGUCUCAGCACUAAAGGAGGCAGAAGCAAGAGGAUCUCUACGUUUGAGGCCAUCCUGGUCUACGUAGUGAGUUCCAGGAAAGCCAGGGCUAUGGAGAGAAGCCCUGCUCAAAAGAUAACUCCCCCUCUCCCCCAGGGGAAAAAGGUAGGGGAAAGAAUCAGACUCCUGGAAGUAUCCUGGUCCACAGAGGCAGACAUUGAGGAGUUUCUGCUGGCCUUGCCCUAUCCAAGUGGGUCUGCUGUUGCCUUUUUUUUUUUUUUUUCUUUUUUUUUUUUAAGCUUCCAUAAUAGGUCCUGCCCCUGUAGGGAUGAAAUCCAGUGUCUCUGGAGUGAGGUGUCAGGGCCCGGCCUUCCCUGAACACCCAUUUCCACACGGGGGCCCUUCCGUGGUUUCUGCCUUGCGCUGCUGAUGUCUCCAAACACUUCCCCGUGCCCUGCCCCUCCACAGAAAGGCCCUCUCCAAACACCCCAUCUGAAGUAGGGUGGCCCGGCCCCAUUCCUGUGACUUCUGCAUGUCUUUCCUUCGGGGCACUUCAAGUUCUGUGCGUUUCUGUGCCAGCUAGUCUCUUUGGGCCCUAUCGGCCAGUCUGUGUAACCAAGUCCUCUGUAACUGCGACUCGCGCUCACAAAUGUUCAUUCGCUCAGUGAGCUAGGAAGGUCUUCGGCCUUGGUGCUGGGGCCCUAGACGCCGCCCGCCGGCGGUGUGUCCGCCACCCACAAGGCUGUUGCCCGGCCCAGGCUGGCAAGGACGAAGGAAGGGCCUGUUUCUGAGAUGGUCCUGGUCUGCAGAGGACCCAGCUCUGAGGAAGAGGCAGCCGCCUCCCUCCCUGCCCAGUUCUCAGGCCCCUCAGGCCCCGCUGCUGGAGGCUGCAGCAGCGCCCAGGGCCCGACUGCCUUGCAGCUCCAGGCUUGGCCGUUGGAAAGCGUUGGGAGCGCCCAUCCCCCUCCACACCCCAUCUCCAUGGAUACCCACGCUCUCCCCACCCCCACCCCAGUCACGGAGGCGGCCCCCAUUGCAGGCCCUGUGUGGCUGCCACUCACAAAGCCACCGUGUGCUCACAGACCCUUCUCCAGAGAAGUGGCCAGAAGAACUAGGGAGGGGCGUGGGGGUGUUGGAAUGUUUGCUGCUGGGUCAGCCUUGUCUUUGCAGCCUCGCCCUCCUCCUUUUAUCCCGAGAGGGCCCAGAGGUUUCCCCUUGGGGCCUAGUCCAUGUAACCUGAGGCCGUGGCUUUGGGGACUGCUUCCCUCCCGCACUUCAGCUUAAGCACUCGGUGGGGAGAAGACAGGACCCUUCACGCCGCAGUGUCCAGACGCCGGUACCAGCUGGUGGCACAGGGAUCAGCUUGCUUGGGAAGGUUGGAGAAGCUGCCUGGGAGGGACCUGGAAGUGAGUCUAUCCACUCCACAGCCCUGAGAUGCCUGAAAUCAGAUCCUGGGCUUACCACUCUGGGCCAGGCGUGGAUGUGGGACUUUCCUGGGAAUGGUUGCUCUACAAGUGGAGGGAUGCUGGAGUGCAGGAAUCCCAAUCUACAGCUGAUGCCAACAGGGUCCUCUCCACAACAACCACACUGAAUGAAGAUGUCAUUUUUAACAGUGAGUCUGUGCCAGGGGGCAGGAGAAGGAAGGAAGGAAGGAAAGCAACAGGAGUCUGAAGAUUCUGGGGAGCAGACAGGGACUCAUAUGUAUUCCAAGCUGGCCCUGAACUUGCUAUGUUGAGGAUCUUGACCUCCUAAAUCCUCCUGCCUCUACAGUGCUGGGAUUACAAGGCAUUUAUUACCAAGCUGGGUUUAUGUUGUGCUGAAGAUGGAUCGAUCCCAGGGUCUCAUGAAUGACAGCUGAACUCAAGCUCCAGAGCUGACCAUGAAUGUUGUUACUGAGACACCCCAGAGGCCUUAUCACAUUUGCUCUCUGAGCAAAGCAGCCCUGUGUGGACACAGCAAGAAGACAGCCAUCUGCAUGGCAGGAGAGUCAGUCCCCUAUCCCAAACCCCGGGUCCCAGACUCUACAACUGUGACAACAAAAUAAAAUGUCUUCUGUAUAA
Molecule: long non-coding RNA, 5329 nt
Organism: Peromyscus leucopus (white-footed mouse)
Lineage: Eukaryota; Metazoa; Chordata; Mammalia; Rodentia; Cricetidae
Exons: 5
Source: RefSeq, a predicted model, not a curated record